Molecule: ribosomal RNA, 253 nt
Filed under: uncultured bacterium
Lineage: Bacteria
Description: partial 16S ribosomal RNA
Rfam family: Bacterial small subunit ribosomal RNA
Source: RNAcentral
UACGAAGGGGGCUAGCGUUGCUCGGAAUCACUGGGCGUAAAGCGCACGUAGGCGGCUUUCUAAGUCAGGGGUGAAAUCCUGGAGCUCAACUCCAGAACUGCCUUUGAUACUGGAGAGCUUGAGUCCGGAAGAGGUGAGUGGAACUCCGAGUGUAGAGGUGAAAUUCGUAGAUAUUCGGAGGAACACCAGUGGCGAAGGCGGCGACCUGGAACGUGACUGACACUGAGCAGCGAAAGCGUGGGGAGCAAACAGG